Molecule: RNA transcript, 1049 nt
Organism: Polypterus senegalus (gray bichir)
Lineage: Eukaryota; Metazoa; Chordata; Cladistia; Polypteriformes; Polypteridae
Gene name: thioredoxin domain-containing protein 6-like
Exons: 2
Source: RefSeq, a predicted model, not a curated record
CUGUGAAUUUUACUACUCAGAGAAGGAGAGAGAAGUGUUAGCUCCAGUAAUUCGUUUUCACUCGAGCCUGUUAGUUUUUCGUGAAAAUUUGAAGUAUUCUUCCCGUGUUCACGCUAGUUGCGGCUGCUUGUCCAUUUAAUGACUGCGUCUACGUUAAAUUUGCUUUACCUUGGAAAUUUUCAUGAUGCAAUUUGUGCAUUACGCAGCCCUUCACAGGACUGAUGUUUUUUUUUUUUACCUUAAACAGGCUUUUCGUUAUGGCUGGACAAAAGAAAGAAAUGGUAUUUCAGCUGGCAACUGGUGAUGAAGAUGAUGAACAAGCCUAACAACCAAGAUAAACAAAAAUAUACCCAUGUAAUGCACAUAAAUUAUUGAACAUUCUAAAAAAGCAAACAAUUCUUUGUAAUUUCUAUACUGACACCAUUGUUUAGAGACUGGGAAAAAUAUCUUGCUUAAUUAAGGUAAGAAGUCCAAUUAAAAUCAGACGUUGAGAGCCCCCAGGACUGAUAUUAAAAAGCAUGGAGCUUAAAAGGACUGCCUACAAGAUCUUAUUGUUGAAAUAUACAGAAUAGAAAAGAAUUUCAGAAGCAUUUGCAUGGAAUUUUAAAAAAAUCUGAGUAUCCUUCUACUACUGAUAACUAGGCAAUGAGAAAGCCAACAGAGAAUCUACCAAUAUUCAAUGCCAGCUUUAAAGGAGCUGCAUGGAUUUAUGACAAUACAUUGUCACUCCAAGCAUAUUAAAAUCAUUUAGCAUUUUCUCUACAAAUCUGCAAUGUUGCGGGUAGGGUGGUAAAACAGAAGACAUUUCUCAUUUAAGCUUUUAUACAUUUUGCAGGAAGAUCUGUUCAGUAUCCCAAAACCCUGGGUGAGAAUGACAUAUUACCUAAUGAGACCAUGGCCGAAACUUUUGGCAUUAACCCCCCCCCCCAUAAAAAAUGUGUUGGCUUUGUGUAUCAUAUACAGAAGACUGAAUCUACUGUUAAGAAUAAUGCUAGCAUUAUGAUAUGAGGCUGUUUCUCUUUUGAAGAAAGGUCAGGAUAGAUGUAGAA